UCAAGUAGCAUACCACCCUGCAUCCCACUGCUGGCUUGCUUCUGAAGCUAAGCAGGGUUGGUCCUGGUCGGUCCCUGCAUGGCAGACCAGCUGCUGUUGGAA
This 102-nucleotide ribosomal RNA is filed under the name Hucho hucho (huchen). The record is from RNAcentral. Lineage: Eukaryota; Metazoa; Chordata; Actinopteri; Salmoniformes; Salmonidae.